GGAUUUGGUAACAAGAUAAAAGCAAAGUUUGAAAUUCUAUCAUUAGGAGAUUUAGGGAAUUUAUUCUAGAUAGAUGGGAUAUAUUGUUAGGGUUAUAUUAGAGGAAGCAUAGAGGAAAAAAAAGAAAGAAAGAAUGAGAGAAAAUAGAGUAACCGUGGAGGAGUUUCGAGACAGAGUCUGGAGAUCUUUGCACCAAGGGCAUCAAGUUAGACAUAGAAUAAAAGGUUAGGGGGAGAGAUAUUUUGGCUUGAAAUAUUGGUAAGGGGAGUUAACAAUUUACCUAUAUGAUUGGUUUGUUUAUGUGCAAUAUUUAGUCUGUUCUGUUUUCUUAAAUAGCAUUCUUCAUAUGGCUUUCUUGAUCUUCUUAGUAAAGACCAAAUGCAAUAAAAAUUAAAAGGAAAAGAAUAACAUCUAGGGAACAGAUGCAAUAAAAAUAUUUCUUCAGGAGAAAGUAUAAUUAAUUAACCAUAACAUUAAAGAAGCAAUAACUUAAAAAAUACCUCUCUGAGUUGUAAGAGCUCU
Molecule: long non-coding RNA, 522 nt
Filed under: Vigna radiata
Lineage: Eukaryota; Viridiplantae; Streptophyta; Magnoliopsida; Fabales; Fabaceae
Description: long non-coding RNA (VRAD_LNC011721)
Source: RNAcentral